UACGUAGGGUGCAAGCGUUGUCCGGAAUUAUUGGGCGUAAAGAGCUCGUAGGUGGCCUGUCGCGUCGGCUGUGAAAACUCGGGGCUCAACUCCGAGCUUGCAGUCGAUACGGGCAGGCUAGAGUUCGGCAGGGGAGACUGGAAUUCCUGGUGUAGCGGUGAAAUGCGCAGAUAUCAGGAGGAACACCGGUGGCGAAGGCGGUUCUCUGGGCCUGUACUGACGCUGAGGAGCGAAAGCGUGGGGAGCGAACAGG
This 253-nucleotide ribosomal RNA is filed under the name uncultured bacterium. RNAcentral's name for it is "partial 16S ribosomal RNA". It matches the Rfam family "Bacterial small subunit ribosomal RNA", at positions 524 to 776 of the family's 1533-position model. The record is from RNAcentral.